UGGGGAAUUUUGGACAAUGGGCGAAAGCCUGAUCCAGCCAUGCCGCGUGAGUGAAGAAGGCCUUCGGGUUGUAAAGCUCUUUCAGACGGAAAGAAAACUUCGAGGCUAAUACCUUCGGAGGAUGACGGUACCGUAAGAAGAAGCACCGGCUAACUACGUGCCAGCAGCCGCGGUAAUACGUAGGGUGCGAGCGUUAAUCGGAAUUACUGGGCGUAAAGCGUGCGCAGGCGGUUUUGUAAGACAGCUGUGAAAUCCCCGGGCUCAACCUGGGAACUGCGGUUGUGACUGCAAGACUUGAGUACGGCAGAGGGGGGUGGAAUUCCUGGUGUAGCAGUGAAAUGCGUAGAUAUCAGGAGGAACACCGAUGGCGAAGGCAGCCCCCUGGGCCUGUACUGACGCUCAUGCACGAAAGCGUGGGGAGCAAACAGG
Molecule: ribosomal RNA, 429 nt
Filed under: uncultured bacterium
Lineage: Bacteria
Also listed under: 1 other name
Description: bacterial SSU rRNA
Rfam family: Bacterial small subunit ribosomal RNA
Source: RNAcentral